GACGGGUGAGUAACACGUGGUAACCUGCCUGUAAGACUGGGAUAACUCCGGGAAACCGGGGCUAAUACCGGAUGGUUGUUUGAACCGCAUGGUUCAAACAUAAAAGGUGGCUUCGGCUACCACUUACGAUGGACCCGCGGCGCAUUAGCUAGUUGGUGAGGUAACGGCUACCAAGGCAACGAUGCGUAGCCGACCUGAGAGGGUGAUCGGCCACACUGGGACUGAGACACGGCCCAGACUCCUACGGGAGGCAGCAGUAGGGAAUCUUCCGCAAUGGACGAAAGUUGACGGAGCAACGCCGCGUGAGUGAUGAAGGUUUUCGGAUCGUAAAGCUCUGUUGUUAGGGAAGACAAGUACCGUUCGAAUAGGGCGGUACCUUGACGGUACCUAACCAGAAAGCCACGGCUAACUACGUGCCAGCAGCCGCGGUAAUACGUAGGUGGCAAGCGUUGUCCCGGAAUUAUUGGGCGUAAAGGGCUCGCAGGCGGUUUCUUAAGUCUGAUGUGAAAGCCCCCGGCUCAACCGGGGAGGGUCAUUGGAAACUGGGGAACUUGAGUGCAGAAGAGGAGAGUGGAAUUCCACGUGUAGCGGUGAAAUGCGUAGAGAUGUGGAGGAACACCAGUGGCGAAGCGACUCUCUGGUCUGUAACUGACGCGAGGAGCGAAAGCGUGGGGAGCGAACAGGAUUAGAUACCCUGGUAGUCCACGCCGUAAACGAUGAGUGCUAAGUGUUAGGGGGUUUCCGCCCUUAGUGCUGCAGCUAACGCAUUAAGCACUCCGCCUGGGGAGUACGGUCGCAAGACUGAAACUCAAAGGAAUUGACGGGGGCCCGCACAAGCGGUGGAGCAUGUGGUUUAAUUCGAAGCAACGCGAAGAACCUUACCAGGUCUUGACAUCCUCUGACAAUCCUAGAGAUAGGACGUCCCCUUCGGGGGCAGAGUGACAGGUGGUGCAUGGUUGUCGUCAGCUCGUGUCGUGAGAUGUUGGUUAAGUCCCGCAACGAGCGCAACCCUUGAUCUUAGUUGCCAGCAUUCAGUUGGGCACUCUAAGGUGACUGCCGGUGACAAACCGGAGGAAGGUGGGGAUGACG
Molecule: ribosomal RNA, 1089 nt
Filed under: uncultured Bacillus sp.
Lineage: Bacteria; Bacillati; Bacillota; Bacilli; Caryophanales; Bacillaceae
Description: bacterial SSU rRNA
Rfam family: Bacterial small subunit ribosomal RNA
Source: RNAcentral